Molecule: long non-coding RNA, 1167 nt
Filed under: Anas platyrhynchos platyrhynchos (common mallard)
Lineage: Eukaryota; Metazoa; Chordata; Aves; Anseriformes; Anatidae
Description: lncRNA (ENSAPLG00000019078.1)
Source: RNAcentral
GGUGUUUAUUGAGGGUCUUCCCAUACAGCAAGACUCAGGACUUUGCCUGAAAAAGCAAUCAGUCAGGGAAGGCAGGCCUUUAGCUAUGGUGUAAAGUGUUGUAGGAUUUUCCCAGCAUAGGGGAUAGCGUGAGAGGUGCCCUGCACUAUGCCUCAAGCAGGAGUGCGUGACACAGACAAAAAAAUCUCCUGUUGAGGAUUAGAGCAUAUGGGAAGUAGGGCUAUGGAGCUCAUUAUCCCCUGCAUCCCCCAUGGCAAGAGCAAUCACCAGAGCCUGUUGUAGUUGGACACAACAACCACACACAAACCAUGCUACUUUCCUCCCUGAUGCUGGUGCUCUUGCAGGUUGGGGCAGAACAGUAGAAAAGCACAACAGAUGCAUCCAGGAUGAUUUCUUCCUCUCCUUGCUGUGGUAGGAGAGGGUCAGACAGGGACUUGCCAAAAUCCCUCACUUGAAUGCUGCUGGAGAACGGUGUUGCAGACACAGAAACAGUGACUGCGGCUCUGCUGGACUCAUUGAGUGAUUCAGAAACAUUAGUGUAGGCACAGAGAGAUGAUGUGGUGGCUAACCAGAAUAUUACAAUUCAGGACAUGCCCAUUCUCUACAGAGAAUGGCUGGGAAUCCCAAUAGGGAAGGAAUAUGAGGAGACACAGAUUAUAAUGCAGCAUAAACUUUAAUGAGUCUGAAGAAGGAAUCAAAGCAGCACAUGGAGGAAGGGAUCCAGUCCUAGCUGCCACAAGGAGAGCUGGCAGUCAGAUCCCACUUCAACACAAUGGGUUGCAUGUCUUCCUCCCUCACAUGGGAAGAGGAAGAACAAACAGGACACUCUUGACUUGCUUCCAGAUGAACCAAUGGCACAGAACAGCAGCAGAAAACAAGGACUUGUCAUGCAAUGAAGAAAGUGGGAGAAGAAGAUAUCUGCUGGCCAUGUUUCCAGACAGCGCAGGCUGGCACCUCUGGAAACUCUGGCCAGCAGCUCCGUCUUCAGUCCAGCACCUGGCUUCGGGCUUCGUGGUCGAUGCUCUCACUGGACGUCCUCAUGGGCUUUAGCAGGGCAGGCACCUCCUGCCAUAGUAGCGGCCACCAAAGCCAGAGAGGCCAAAACCUCCAGAGGAGAUGGGCACUCCCUCAGCACUCAGUAUGCUGCCAACGGCAGCUGAGGUGGUG